AUACGUAGGGGGCGAGCGUUGUCCGGAAUGAUUGGGCGUAAAGGGCGCGUAGGCGGCGCGGUAAGUCUGGAGUGAAAGUCCUGCUUUCAAGGUGGGAAUUGCUUUGGAUACUGCCGCGCUUGAGUGCAGGAGAGGUUAUCGGAAUUCCCGGUGUAGCGGUGAAAUGCGCAGAGAUCGGGAGGAACACCAGUGGCGAAGGCGGGUAACUGGACUGCAACUGACGCUGAGGCGCGAAAGUGUGGGGAGCAAACAGGAUUAGAUACCCUGGUAGUCCACACUGUAAACGAUGAAUGCUAGGUGUAAGAGGUAUCGACCCCUUUUGUGCCGGAGUCAACACAAUAAGCAUUCCGCCUGGGGAGUACGGCCGCAAGGUUGGAACUCAAAGGAAUUGACGGGG
This 397-nucleotide ribosomal RNA is filed under the name uncultured bacterium. Its description in RNAcentral is "partial 16S ribosomal RNA". It matches the Rfam family "Bacterial small subunit ribosomal RNA", at positions 523 to 918 of the family's 1533-position model. The record is from RNAcentral.